AUGAUGUGGAGACCAGAAACCACUUAAAAGAACGGGGCGAACCUACCAAGCCAAAUGAGUAGGUAAAUA
Molecule: non-coding RNA, 69 nt
Organism: Bacteroidetes bacterium GWF2_41_31
Lineage: Bacteria; Pseudomonadati; Bacteroidota
Source: Rfam